Molecule: long non-coding RNA, 1797 nt
Filed under: Piliocolobus tephrosceles (Ugandan red Colobus)
Lineage: Eukaryota; Metazoa; Chordata; Mammalia; Primates; Cercopithecidae
Description: lncRNA (ENSPTEG00000007453.1)
Source: RNAcentral
AUGAUAUAUGAUCCUAAUGAAGUUUUUAAAAAGUACCAUCACAAUGAAACGAUAAAGUGUAUUGAUUCCUUGAAUCAAAAUAUUCUUAGUAAAGAAGAGUCUAUUAAAAAUUUUUUAAAAGAAAAAAGCAGCAAUGUAAUUGACAAUACUAUUAAAAUUAAGAAUGUGUAUGGGAGUGUGGAAAGGAUAAAAUACAACUUAGAAAAUAUAAUUGACAAAUAUGGUGUUUUAAUUAGUGAUGUUAAAAAUACAACUACUAAUUUAAAAGACAGCUCGUAUUCUAAAGAGUUAAGCGAUUAUGAAAAAAGUAUUGUAAAUAAAGUAUGGGAGAAAAAAUAUGAGAGUUAUAAAUUUUUGUUUAACAACUCUUUUUUUUUUUUAUCAAAUAAAGCAGACAUUAGUGAUCAGUAUGAUUUUGUUAAGAAAGAAAAAGAAGAUUUAAUGAACUAUGAUUGUUUUUAUUUAAACAAUUAUAUAAAUAACUUUUAUUUUGAUAUUAACAAAAAGGUAAGUGAACAAAAUUAUAUAUAUGUCAUAAAUAAAAUAUACACAGACAUAUUUAUUUGUUUAAAAGUUUUAAAUUCCAUUUUUAAAAGCAACAACAUUCGAAACAUUUAUGUAAAAAUUUUUAAUAAUAAAAAUGCGGUACACUAUUUAAAUUCAUUUAUUAGUAUACAUAAGGAAAAUUUCUGUGAUAUAUUAAUAAGAUUGGUAUACUCGUCAUAUUAUAAUUUAACAUAUAACAUUUCUUGUAAAGUUAAAGCAAUAUCCCAAUCAUUAAUUGUUUUGUUAAUGUUUUACAAUAAAAAAAAUAAUAAAAUACAUGAUAUAGUACAGGAUGAUUUAUUUCAAAAUAUUCUAAAUGCACGAAUAAAAUUAAUAACUAAUUUUAUUAAAAAUAAAACAAGUAAAAAAGAACAUAUAACCUUUGAAAAUAUAAAAGUGUAUUAUAAAAAAAGUAUAGAUUUGUUAUUAAAUACUAAUUAUAUAUUGUUACUAUUACUUGAUUUGAGUCAAGUAAAAGUAGAUAAAAGAUUAAAACAACAAGGUCAAAAUUGUGUUAACAAUGUAACAAAUGAGCAAAAGUUUAAAACGAAAAAGUUACAAGUUAAUAAUUUGGAAGAUAGUUUCGAGGAAAAAGUUGGUAAAAGUGACAAAAAUGGCAAAAGUGGAAAAAGUGGCAAAAAUGACAAAAGUGGCAAAAAUGGCAAAAGUGGAAAAAGUGGAAAAUGUGGUAAAAAUGGCAAAAAUGACGAAAAUAAAAAUGGCGAAAACCAAAAUAACAUGCUUCUGCAAAUUAUGAGAAAUGAUUUGUUUAUAUUACAGAGUGUAUUUCAUAAUGAUGAAAAUAAAAAAGUAAGAAAAAAUAAAGAAUAUUUUAACUUUGUUAUUAAUAGUAUAGAAGAAAUAAAAAUUAUAUUAAAUAGUAAAGCAAAUGAGAAUUUUAACAUAUUAAAUAAUUAUUACGUGGAAUGUAUUAUGUGCGUUUAUACGUGUAUGAUAAAAAUAUUAUAUUAUUAUUAUAAUAAAAGUGAAUAUAAUAAUAUAUAUAAUAAUUUAUUUAAUGAAUAUGAAAGUAUUAAAUUGUUACAUAUGAAAAUAAAAAGAAAAAUGAUUAGUAAAAAUAAAUACUUGAACACAUUUGUUAAAGACAUAGACAUUUAUUUAAAUAAUAACUAUUUAAAUGAUAUGAAUGAUCAGAUUUUUGAUAUAUUUUUUUUUUUUUUUUUAACAAAUUUAUUACUGCUAUACCAUUUUUUGAUUUCAAACCAAUUAAUAAAUGGAAAAUUAUUAUAA